AGGAUUAUAAUUUUAAUUAAAAAUAUUUAAUUUGCUAUUAAAAAAUAUUGUAAAACAAUUUAUCUUA
This 67-nucleotide transfer RNA is filed under the name Ecnomus latus. RNAcentral's name for it is "tRNA-Ala". The record is from RNAcentral. Lineage: Eukaryota; Metazoa; Arthropoda; Insecta; Trichoptera; Ecnomidae.